RNAcentral lists this ribosomal RNA (253 nucleotides) under uncultured bacterium. RNAcentral's name for it is "partial 16S ribosomal RNA". It matches the Rfam family "Bacterial small subunit ribosomal RNA", at positions 524 to 776 of the family's 1533-position model. The record is from RNAcentral.
UACGGGGGGGGUAAGCGUUGUUCGGAAUUACUGGGCGUAAAGGGCUCGUAGGCGGCCAACUAAGUCAUACGUGAAAUCCCUCAGCUUAACUGGGGAACUGCGUGUGAUACUGGAUGGCUUGGAUGUGGGAGAGGGAUGCGGAAUUCCAGGUGUAGCGGUGAAAUGCGCAGAUAUCAGGAGGAACACCGGUGGCGAAGGCGGGUCUCUGGGCCGUAACUGACGCUGAGGAGCGAAAGCGUGGGGAGCGAACAGG